GAGGUCAGCUCUCUCUCGCUCUCUCUGGCUCUCUCUUUCUAUUUGGCUCUUGCUCUGUUUAGUAGUAAAGUGCUCACCCGUGUGUGUGUGUGUGUGUGUGUGCGUGUGUGUGUGUGUGUGUGUGUGUGUGUGUGUGUGUGUGUGUGUCCACACUCAGCAGGGAGCCAGCAGUGCACAUUCUCACUGGGGAUCAUAUGUGUAUGUGCGUUGACUCAAGUACAGGGUUGGUUGUUUUCGUUUGAGGGUUGCGCUCGGUGGCUCCACGUUUUUCCACGUUUUCUGGAAGCCUUACCUCCCUCCCACGGGGCCAGUGGAGUCUCGCCACCCUCCCAAGGGGCCAGUAGAGUCUCACCUCCCUCCCACGGGGCCAGUGGAGUCUCGCCUCCCUCCCACGGGGCCAGUAGAGUCUCACCUCCCUCCCACGGGGCCAGUGGAGUCUCACCUCCCUCCCACGGGGCCAGUAGAGUCUCACCUCCCUCCCACGGGGCCAGUGGAGUCUCGCCACCCUCCCACGGGGCCAGUAGAGUCUCACCUCCCUCCCACGGGGCCAGUGGAGUCUCGCCACCCUCCCACGGGGCCAGCGGAUAUGGAUAUUCGACACAAGGGGCCGGUGCCAGUGGACUGGGACCUGACUGGGGCAGCAGACUGGGACCAUCUGACUGGAGAAACACACCUCUGUACUAUGGAGUCCAUGCAGCAUUGGAAACAGCCUAUGGUGAGACUGGCACUUGUCCAUCAGCUUACAGUGUUGGAGCAGCCGGCCCGUUGCCAUAUGGUCCAUCACCUGACGGAGGACAUGCAUCUGACCCACCACCUGGUGAUGGCAAUCCAGCCGGCAGAAAAGCGGCCAGCCCUCUGCACUACUGGAGAGAAUUAGGCAGCUCAUCAGAUCAGAGCAACGUCCCAACAGCUACUGAGUGGACACCUUGCGAUGGAUGUAAGAAGGAGUUUGACAAGCUCAUCUGUCAGAAGAGGGAAGUCGAUGAGGUCGCCUCAAAAAUAGACCCGGGCCAGCUCCAAGAGAUCCAGAAUCUCCAGAAGGAACUGUUUCCUGACAGCGGCUUGUUUGUCUCUUCCUUCCGACUUGCUGCUAUGCACCAGUCAGUGUCAGAAAUCUGUUGCUUUUGGUCGCCAUGGCAAGCCCCCAGAAGGAAAGAAGCUGCUUGAAAGGAAGAAGGUGGACGGAAUUCUAACCUAUGUCCUGAGAUGUGCAACCAUGCCAGGUUGGACAAAAAUUGAUGACAGCAAACUGAAGAAGGCCUUCAUAAACAAAUGUAGGGCCAGAGCAGGAGAGAACAGCAGUAGACCUGAAUGCACUCCUUAGCAAUGGUCGCUGUUUGUUGAGUUGUUGGUGAUGUCCCCUUUCCCCGGUCUUCAGUUUCACCAGGCUGGACUUUUUGUCCCGUUUUAUUGCACUUAGCAGGCAAGUCCCUGCAAUAGUUAGCACUUUACAUAGAAACCUGUCUCUGCUGGUUGCACAGGUUAUUUAUUUUUAUUUCAAGUGAAAUGUUUGGUUUUAUAUUUUAUAUAAAGUGUAUAAGUGUUUUAAUGUGCCCCAGUUUAACAUGUCCCCUUUCCCCAGGCUUAAAGGUAUAGUUCGGUAUUUUUGAACCUGGGCCUUAUUUCUGUCAUGGGGUGCCUUAAUCUACUAAUUGGUAGCAUUUUGGUGAAGAUCGGCGUAGUUUUGACGCUGUUCAGACCAUCCCGAUCGAGCGUGUAUCCAUAUGACGGGAGUAAGCCGGGCACAGACAAUACAUACGGAAGAGGAUUAGGGCCACACAUGUAAAAAAAAAUCAGAACUACGGGUAUCUGUAAGGACCAACCUCCGUGGGAGAGACACUUUGCUUUAGGCAGUAGGAGGAAACCUAUGGAAAGCCAAGAAGGCCACAAUCCGGCCCUAGAAUGGCGCGGUAAAAGUGCACGUCCCAUAGCCAACUCACCAAGCUCACCAAGUCCAGUAUUCAGAAUUCAAAGCAUUUAUUCACAAAUACGUUCUAUUUUUUUGACAAGCAAAGCCGAUAGUCCUGUGCAAGUAUGCAAAUUAGCCAUGUGCGCCAAACAGAAGAUAGACGCAAUGUAUAGAACUGAUUGUUGUGCAUUGUUGUGGAUAUGUAGGCUGGUUAGUUGUGGUUGUUUGUUGUCUUAGUGAAACAGCUUUGCCUUGGAGUUGGAGAAGUUGGAGUGAUUUUGUGAAUGUGCGAGAGAGAGCGCACCUGCCGUGGUGAUGUUGGGCUUGUUGUGGGCUUAUAUGUGAUCAAUGAUGUAUCUGUCUGAUCGUAUUAGCUGUAGAUGGAUGGUUAAAUAAUGUCACAAGAUCGGUCAUACUGCAGGCUCUCAUUUGCAAAUGCACUGAUUGUGUGCCCGUCUCCAAUAUGCUAUAUACCUGGCAUUUAUUCAGUUCAUGUUCUUCUGAGUGCGCAAGAACGGUGCCAAUUAUUGUCGUGUUUGCAUUGUAAUGCACAACUUUGCCCCUCCCUGUUAUAAAAUAACGUGCAUCCCAACAACUUAAGCCAAUGCAGGCUCCUAUUGCUUUACCAGUGUGUUUAACGUGUGUGUGUGUGUGUGUGUCUGUGUGUGUGUGUGUGUGUGUGUGUGUGUGUGUUGUCAUGUAGGCUAUAGAUAUAGAUUGAUUGUCUUGGCUUGCUUGCAUCCAUGAAAUAUUGUAAUGUUAUGGCCUAGCUGGCUACUGCA
This is a long non-coding RNA of Gadus morhua (Atlantic cod), 2691 nucleotides long. The record is from Ensembl. NCBI's taxonomy places the organism in Eukaryota, Metazoa, Chordata, Actinopteri, Gadiformes, Gadidae.